UUCGUCGUUUCAAACUAGACUUACUCUCUUUGCCAAUAUUUUAUUCUGUGUAGCAGUCAUUAAUGCCAGAGCGCUGUUAUUAUGGCGAAAGAGAAAAGCUGACAGGAUGACAGUGUCGCUCUGUUUUAGCCUUUAGAUCCGUCAGCAUGUAACUUAAAGUGACAGGCAAAGCUGACUGCAAAAAUCAAAGCCUUCUUUAGCUUCCACAUUUUUCAAAUUGCACUAUUUGAGUGGCUUAGAGAAACUUCAAAGCGUCAGAGAAGAGGAUUUUUUUUAAUUUCAGAUAAGGCCCCUGAGCUGAAUGUGAACUGCUGGGAGUGUAGAAGCUCACAUCCUAAUCAAUGUGACCAGCUGAAUUCAAGACCGAGGAGCUCAUCUUUUUUGCCCGGUUUCAGAAAUGUGCUUGAUGAGACUCUAACCAGAAUCAAUCAUGAGUCUGGAUUCCAAGGCUGAGGGCUGGCUGCUAUCCCCUCCAGUUAGCUUCCGAGUCAGUAGCGAAAUGCUCUUGAAAGUACUGUUGGUCAGCACUCCAAAUCAGGAGGGUGGAAUUAAAAAGGUUGCUAUGGAGAAGAAGGAUUUCCUCAGCUCUUCGGCCUAUCACUGAAGCUGCUCUUCUGCCUGGAGAUGGCGCUUUGCAUUGAUGCUGUGGCUUGUCCGUCAAGGACCAAAGCUUGUUCAACGUCUUCCUUUGUGCCACAGAUUUCAGGCUGUCCAUAUCUGUCCCUAUGACAGCCUUUCUGCCUUAGUAAUUUGUCCAGGCGAGAAGUGUCGCUUGCCUUGACACACCACCGUCAUUCCACAAUACAAAGGUAUACAUGAGGGCGCUCGUCAGCAUUGAUCCCUUGAACAUCUGCAGUAUUUUUUUCAGAUGUAAUUGGUCAAGCUCAUCCGAAUUAGAAUCAAGUCAUCUUCAGUGACGUCCAAUAAUUGGGCCCUUGAUGACUUUAAUCAAGAAGGUGAUUUGCCUUACAAGUACAAUAAGUGUGUACUGGACUUUGCUCACCUAAAAUAACUACAAUAAUAAUAAUAAUUCCUUAACAUUUGCAAACAAAGUUCUAGUACUACAUUGAACAAGAAGAUGCAUUAUUUAACCAUGGUUACGCCUGCCAAGCGUGACUGCUGAGAUCAUUCCUGUCAUUCCUCCCAUGUUAUCCAACCAAGAUCUAAAUGAUAAGACUCUGAUUUAAAGAUCGUUUGUAUUCUGACUGUUUUCGAGCCAAUAUAUACAGCUAACUAUACAGUGUUGCGUUAUACUCGCCCACCAUAAAGCUAAUCAAAACUUGUUUCGGAACAUACAAUACUGUACUGGUACUUCUUUGAGACGAUGUUCAGACAACUUAGAUUCACUUUCCCCGGAAGCACUUCUUUCUCAUUCCUUCUUGAGUCAUUGGAGUCACUCCUGUCAGGUUUGUCUCGAUUUCUUGAAUUUUAAUCCCUACCUACACUGGAAUCACUCUUUUGACCCACUUACUAAUCUUCUCGGUGUGAUGGCGCUCACUACUUUGAACUGUCCAAUUUCUUUCAUCCUGUGCUGGCACACUCUGCUCUUCAUUACUUUCGGUAAUCAUCAGAAAGUUUACAUUUCCAGUUUCUGUUCUAACCCCUUGCCAUUUGUGUCUCCAAUCUUUUUUUUUUUUGUUUUUUGUUUUUCUUCCAAAAAAUGUGUCAGACAACUACAUUGAUUACAUUGUUUUACUCUCAUCAUAAAUUCCUAAGCGUCUUGAUCUCUGUCCUGCAAUUGUCGUCCGGCUUCUGAAUUUCUUUGCCCUCAUCUGAAAAAUUCUGCUUUUUUCCCCCCCACUUAUUCUCCUCUUCCCCUUGGCAUACGUACAUGGUGUAAUCACUUUCACAACAAACCAAAUCUCCCCACACUGGUCUAUUUACAAUGCAUCUGUGAUUCCCCGUCUGUGUGUUCUUCAGUCCGGGUUUUCCUAUUUUUGGUAACUCUCAUUUCUGACUACCACAUGAAAUACUAUACAUCUCCUGUUCAAGAUUAUUAGUUGUUGCAAGAUUUUAACAAUGAAUAUUUGAUAUAAAAAUGUUGCUAAGGGCUUGUUAUUAUACGUUUCCCACCAUGCCUGCUCUUUUUGAUUUCUCGUCCUUCCUUGAAAGAGCAGUGCCACCCAAUGUCAAGCGUUAGCAUGAUUCAAGCCAAGAAGUAGGAUGCGGACCGGAUCUAAUCUUUGCACUUGAAGUGUGUACUCUGCCCAUAUUCAGUCAUGCUGUAUAGCUUUCCCAUGCCCGCAGCGUAACUUGGCGUCUUUGAAGCAAUCAUCACUUAAAAUUGGAACACUCCCUACUACCUUGUAGAGACGCACAGAUAUAGGAAUGCACCAGUUGAUACAAGCUAAGAAUCACAUUAGGAGAAACGCAAGUCCUGAUGCCUCACCAUGAGUUUUGGUCCCGCCCUUAUGAUGAUAUAAAUACGUUCUGAAUCCCUUGCUUCUUUGCACUCUUGACCACUACAGCGAUUGUCUGUAAACUGCGGAUGCCCGAAAUAUCCUGCAAAUAAACUCUUCAAAGGCACUGUUCAUAGAUUCCAGCUUGUAUUUGGAUAACCAACAUUCUCCUCGUCUGAAUUUCAUGAAAGCACAGGGGAAAGGUCACUUUGCCCCAACACACUCUAGCUUGGUUUCUCUUGAGGAGAAAGAAAAUACGAGCUUCAGCACUAUAAAAUCUGAGGGCGCCAGAAUCAUGGAUGUCAUAAUCCCAGCAUGCACGACUCCAAGCUGAAGUUGAAAGUUAACCAGCAAGUGCAGUUUGCCAACAGCUGUUUGUUCAUCUGUUGGCUAAUAACACACAGACAGAAGUAUUAGGCCCCUCAUAGCCAUACCAUUGCAGACCAUUGCAUUUUGUUGGAAUCAGUUUGGCAUUACAGUAUUAGUGUAAAAUAGUGAUAUGAAUUCAGGGGAAGCGCAGGCUUUUCGCUACAGGUUCAUGAGCACGAUUAUUGCGAUGCAUUUACUCA
This is a long non-coding RNA of Hippocampus zosterae (dwarf seahorse), 2968 nucleotides long. RefSeq lists it as uncharacterized. The record is from RefSeq and is a predicted model, not a curated record. NCBI's taxonomy places the organism in Eukaryota, Metazoa, Chordata, Actinopteri, Syngnathiformes, Syngnathidae. The transcript has 3 exons.